GGAAGGGGUGUAUUUAUUAGUAAAACCAUGGGGGGCCACGCUUUUUCUGGUAUUCAUAAUACUUUCGAAUUGCAUGGCCUUGUGCUGGCGAUGUUUCAUUCAAUUUUCUGCCCUAUCAACUUUGAAUGGUAGGAUAGAGGCCUACCAGGUUUUAACGGGUAAACGGGAAAUUAGGGUUCGAUUCCGGAGAGGGAGCCUGAGAAACGGCUACCCACAUCAAGGAAGGCAGCAGGCGCGCAAAUUACCCCAAUCCCGAUACGGGGAGGUAGUGACAAUAAAUAACAAUACAGGGCUUUAUAGUCUUGUAAUUGGAAUGAGUACAAUUUAAAUCUCUUAACGAGGAACAAUCGGAGGGCAAGUCUGGUGCCAGCAGCCGCGGUAAUUCCAGCUCCAAUAGCGUAUAUUAAAGUUGUUGCAGUUAAAAAGCUCGUAGUUGAAUUUUAGGCCUGGUUGGACGGUCUGCUCUAGGGUUUGUACUGUCCUGACUGGGUCUUACCUUCUGGUGAGCUGUCGUAUUGUUUACUCAGUGCGGCAGGGAACCAGGACUUUUAC
This 552-nucleotide ribosomal RNA is filed under the name uncultured fungus. RNAcentral describes it as "SSU rRNA". It matches the Rfam family "Eukaryotic small subunit ribosomal RNA", at positions 194 to 755 of the family's 1831-position model. Lineage: Eukaryota; Fungi. The record is from RNAcentral.